AUCAUGUUGGAAAUACCCUUUUCUUAAAAUAGCGUCACAUUUCAGUUAAUUACAUAAAUGCAAUUAACAGCAGACACGGAAAUUCAAAUUCUAAAAAUAAAUGCCAUUUUUAGUUUAGAGUUCUUAUUUUUGGUGUCAAGGGUUUGCAAUUCAGUGGAGACCAAUGAGGUUUCCUUUAUUUAUAGGUCACGUAAAUACCCUCAUCUAUAAUCAGCGGGAAUUUUCAAUUUGAACUUCUUUAUCUUCUGAACGCGCUUUGCACUAUUAUUCAACAUGAACUUCAGUGCAGCCUGGUGAGACUUUGAAUCGCAGGUAAGCAAUACAAACAACACGCUAUUAAUUAAUGUUUCACCUUCAUCAGAACUGGGCAAAUUUUAAAAUUUUAUCGUCUGAAACAUUUAAAACCGAAACAGUUUAAUAGCUAAAUAAUCAAAAAUUAUUCAAAAAAGUAAGCCGUGCUUUUAUAACAUGUAUAAUCGAAUCUUUGUAUUAUCUCAAAUCAGCCCUUAUUACUCGGUGAGAACUUUUUAAAUAAUCCCCAGGGUUUAAUGGGAUUAAGGAGGCCA
This 566-nucleotide long non-coding RNA is filed under the name Mytilus galloprovincialis (Mediterranean mussel). The record is from RNAcentral. Lineage: Eukaryota; Metazoa; Mollusca; Bivalvia; Mytilida; Mytilidae.